AGUCACCUACGGGAGGCAGCAGUGGGGAAUAUUGCGCAAUGGGCGAAAGCCUGACGCAGCGACGCCGCGUGAGGGAUGAAGGUUUUCGGAUUGUAAACUCCUUUUGUUAGAGAAGAUAAUGACGGUAUCUAACGAAUAAGCACCGGCUAACUCCGUGCCAGCAGCCGCGGUAAUACGGAGGGUGCAAGCGUUACUCGGAAUCACUGGGCGUAAAGAGCGCGUAGGCGGGAUAGCAAGUCAGAUGUGAAAUCCUAUGGCUUAACCAUAGAACUGCAUUUGAAACUGAUAUUCUAGAGUAUGGGAGG
Molecule: ribosomal RNA, 305 nt
Filed under: uncultured bacterium
Lineage: Bacteria
Description: bacterial SSU rRNA
Rfam family: Bacterial small subunit ribosomal RNA
Source: RNAcentral